UGAUUAUAAACUAAUGUAUAAUUUACCAGAGUACUAUGAACACACAGUUUAAAACUCAAAGGGCUUGGCGGUGCUUUAGACUAUUCAGGGGAACCUGUCUCGUAAUCGAUAGUCCACGAUACACCUAACCUUUUUUAGUUAUCAGUAUGUAUACCGUCGUCGUCAGGUAACUUUUAAAAAUAAAGAAGUUAGCGAUAAAAAUUAUGAUAAUUUUGUACGUCAGAUCAAGGUGCAGCUUAUAAAAAGGUGAGGAUGGGUUACAAUUAAGAUUUAUAAUAACGGAAGAAAGCUUGAUACAGCUUUUAAUG
This 308-nucleotide ribosomal RNA is filed under the name Alviniconcha kojimai. Its description in RNAcentral is "partial small subunit ribosomal RNA". It matches the Rfam family "Bacterial small subunit ribosomal RNA", at positions 875 to 1325 of the family's 1533-position model. The record is from RNAcentral. Lineage: Eukaryota; Metazoa; Mollusca; Gastropoda; Provannidae.